GUGGGGACAAAGCUUCCCCUCACUCAACAAGCUUAUGGAGGCUGGCAUUGUGGGGUCAGACGCAGCCUUCUCUCAAGGAAGUGCUGAGCAGAAGCCACAGAGGGAGGGCCUCUGUCGAGCAGGAGGGUCCACAUGAUGACUUCCUGGCCAGCAACCUCAGAAGCAUGGUAUGCAGAGAAUGGGGAGAGCUAUCUCAAUGGCCCAGCACCUGGGGUUCCCGCUGUCAUGGGAAAGUCCCUACCCAGAUGUCAGUUGUGUCAGCACUGGCCCCCACUAGCUGAAAACCCUCAGGUCCACAAGGUGAGAAGGGAGGAGGAACAGUACUUCAUGUGGGCCUUUGCUCCAGAGUCAGUGUGUUUGUGUCUCCAGGACUACAAAGUUUUAGCUCAUCAGCCCCAUGAUGGAUCUUGGUAGACGUGCUUCUGUCUGAUCAUGUCCAAAGGAUCUCUGGACUUCCAGGUCAGACUGGGCCACCUGCAGGCUGUUCUCAUUUACCUGGGUGCUCUCCAAAGGCCCAGAGAACCACAUACUUUUAGGGCAUUUUGAACUUCUUACAAAGUCACAAUUAACGGGCCUUUCCUCCUAAAAGGCUAUGUUAAAACCAAAUUUAUUCUCAGAAUGAUUUGGGGGGCUUUAAGGAGCCUCAGAAAUGUCACAUGUAGAACUGGGGCUAUUGUGGAACCUUAAGAGAAAGAAAAAAAAAAAGCUAAGGAUACAUUUAAGUGGAAACUGUUCUAGGGGUUCUGUGGGGUCCCAGCUCUGAAGAGGGCAGAGUAAAAAUUCCUUACAAAGGUUGGAGGUGAUUAUUUCUUCACUUGCCUUCCCACCCCCCCGUGUUCUGUGUCCUGUAUUUCAGCAGGGCUUUCAAAAGCAUCACUUAAUAACUACCAAAAUAAAUUACCACCUUGGACUGUAAUUUUGUCACCUCAAGCAACUUUUAAAUGUGUCUUUUUAAAAUAUAAGUAAAAGCAAUCUAAAUAGAGUGUAAAGUGAAUUUUUUUUCUUCUGUUGCCAGAGGCAACCAUAAUGAAGUCUCCUUCCAGCAAGUGACUUCAGAUCUUUACACAAAUGGCAAUCAUUUUACAUGGUAUCCCAUGAUUAGUUUUACUUAAUAUACUGAUCUGUGGUGCAUUUGCAUGGUCAC
RNAcentral lists this long non-coding RNA (1144 nucleotides) under Marmota monax (woodchuck). The record is from RNAcentral. Lineage: Eukaryota; Metazoa; Chordata; Mammalia; Rodentia; Sciuridae.